RNAcentral lists this ribosomal RNA (492 nucleotides) under uncultured bacterium. Its description in RNAcentral is "partial 16S ribosomal RNA". It matches the Rfam family "Bacterial small subunit ribosomal RNA", at positions 29 to 507 of the family's 1533-position model. The record is from RNAcentral.
AGUGAACGCUGGCGGUAGGCCUAACACAUGCAAGUCGAACGGCAGCACAGUAAGAGCUUGCUCUUACGGGUGGCGAGUGGCGGACGGGUGAGGAAUACAUCGGAAUCUACUUUUUCGUGGGGGAUAACGUAGGGAAACUUACGCUAAUACCGCAUACGACCUACGGGUGAAAGCAGGGGAUCUUCGGACCUUGCGCGAUUGAAUGAGCCGAUGUCGGAUUAGCUAGUUGGCGGGGUAAAGGCCCACCAAGGCGACGAUCCGUAGCUGGUCUGAGAGGAUGAACAGCCACACUGGAACUGAGAAACGGUCCAGACUCCUACGGGAGGCAGCAGUGGGGAAUAUUGGAGGAUGGGCGCAAGCCUGAUCCAGCCAUACCGCGUGGGUGAAGAAGGCCUUCGGGUUGUAAAGCCCUUUUGUUGGGAAAGAAAAGCAGCAGGUUAAUACCCCGCUGUUCUGACGGUACCCAAAGAAUAAGCACCGGCUAACUUCGUG